UGUGUACUCAGCAAUCUGUCUGUAUGUGUAUUCAGCAGUCUGUCUGUAUGUGUAUUCAGCGGACUGUGUGUGUGUGUAUUCAGCGGACUGUGUGUGUGUGUAUUUAGCGGACUGUGUGUGUGUGUUUUCAUCGGACUGUGUGUGUGUGUGUGUGUAUUAAGCGGACUGUGUGUGUGUGUAUUUAGCGGACUGUGUGUGUGUGUAUUUAGUAGCCGGUGUGUGUAUGUAUUUAGCAGUCGGUGUGUGAAUGUGUUCAGCAGUCUGUGUGUAUGUAUUGCAUUUGUUG
This is a non-coding RNA of Pelobates cultripes (western spadefoot toad), 286 nucleotides long. Lineage: Eukaryota; Metazoa; Chordata; Amphibia; Anura; Pelobatidae. The record is from the annotation of a GenBank genome assembly.